GGGGGGCGGGGGGGGGGGGGCGGGGUGGGGGUGGGCGGGGGGGGGGGGGGGGGGCGGGCUUUGGAGGCGUGGGCGGCGGGCGGGUGGGUGCCACGUGGGCAACCUGCCCGGUAGACGGGGGUGCCACCGAGAAGUCGGUGCUAAGCCCGGCUAACACGAACUGUCGCCUUCCGUUUCGUUGACAGACGGAGCAGGCUGUCGCUACCGGAUGAGCCCGCGGCGCAUUAGCUAGUUGUUGCGGUAACGGCUCACCAAGGCGACGAUGCGUAGCCGACCUGAGAGGGUGAUCGGCCACACUGGGACUGAGACACGGCCCAGACUCCUACGGGAGGCAGCAGUAGGGAAUCUUCCGCAAUGGACGAAAGUCUGACGGAGCAACGCCGCGUGAGCGAAGAAGGCCUUCGGGUCGUAAAGCUCUGUUGUUAGGGAAGAACAAGUAACGCAGUAACUGGCGUUACCGUGACGGUACCUAACGAGAAAGCCACGGCUAACUACGUG
This 498-nucleotide ribosomal RNA is filed under the name uncultured bacterium. Its description in RNAcentral is "partial 16S ribosomal RNA". It matches the Rfam family "Bacterial small subunit ribosomal RNA", at positions 38 to 507 of the family's 1533-position model. The record is from RNAcentral.